RNAcentral lists this ribosomal RNA (484 nucleotides) under uncultured bacterium. RNAcentral's name for it is "partial 16S ribosomal RNA". It matches the Rfam family "Bacterial small subunit ribosomal RNA", at positions 30 to 507 of the family's 1533-position model. The record is from RNAcentral.
AUUGAACGCUGGCGGCAGGCCUAACACAUGCAAGUCGAGCGGAUGAAGGGAGCUUGCUCCUGGAUUCAGCGGCGGACGGGUGAGUAAUGCCUAGGAAUCUGCCUGGUAGUGGGGGAUAACGUCCGGAAAUGGGCGCUAAUACCGCAUACGUCCUGAGGGAGAAAGUGGGGGAUCUUCGGACCUCACGCUAUCAGAUGAGCCUAGGUCGGAUUAGCUAGUUGGUGGGGUAAAGGCCUACCAAGGCGACGAUCCGUAACUGGUCUGAGAGGAUGAUCAGUCACACUGGAACUGAGACACGGUCCAGACUCCUACGGGAGGCAGCAGUGGGGAAUAUUGGACAAUGGGCGAAAGCCUGAUCCAGCCAUGCCGCGUGUGCGAAGAAGGUCUUCGGAUUGUAAAGCACUUUAAGUUGGGAGGAAGGGCAGUAAGUUAAUACCUUGCUGUUUUGACGUUACCAACAGAAUAAGCACCGGCUAACUUCGUG